AUGGAAUUAAGACAAAGGGUGCUUGUCUCGGGACUAGGCAUGCCACUCCCCGAGCGCUCAGACCAUCUGCUGCCUGGCCUGAUUCUUAAACCAAAAGCCACCCGUGGCUUCUGUGCCUGGCAGCUGAGGUGGCCUUCUAUGUCCAGUGUCGGCCAGCUGGAAUGGGUUCACACGCACAACAGAAAAUCGGCUCUGUGGGUCAAGAGAAACCUUACUGGGCUGAGAAGGACUAUGGUGACAUUUUGGAAAUAUUGUGGGUUUACUUCUUGGGACCCCUCCCUCCCCCAAAAUAAGGAAUGUAUCUGGAGAACAAGUGGGAUUAGAACAACAACAACAUGCUACAAUUCUGAGGCCGAGAGGUAACAAAUGUACUGAUAGGUAACCCACGCCUGCCUCGGCCUCUCACCUCAGCGCAGAGCGCUGGUGGAAAUGCUUCCUACCCUCCUUUCCUUUCUUACUUAUCAACGCUCCGGGAGCCAUAAAGCUUAUGCCGGUCUCUUCCUGCGCCAUAAAUCCAAAUAAGGUUAAUGUUGACCUGAUGUGCCACUAAGUCAUUUCAAAAGCAGAGGCAAGGUACAGAGGAAACAGUAAAAGUGACAAUGCAUUCAAUGCUAUGUAACAAUUAACAAGAAUGAAUUCCAUUGAAACAUACUGCCAUGAAGCGAUCUCCACAGGCAUGGCAAGUUGACAAAAAUAAUAAGGGCAACCUGCAGAAUAAAAUAUAGAGCAUGGUACCAUGUAUUUUUUAAAAGACACAAACCAAUAUCACACACACACACACACACACACACACACACACACACAUCUGCGCAAACACACAUAGCAAACAGUUAGUUCUACCCCAACUUGAUAACUGAUUUCCCUGGGGAGAAACCGAGGCCUGGGGUGAGGUGGGUAGCAUUGGCCGACUCUAUCUUUUUACAAGAUAAUUUAUUCAAAUAACGUCCACGUUAAAGAAAAAAAGAAGGAAAGGGCAGAAAAGAGACAAGUGUUGCUGUGGGAAAGAAAGGAUUAGCAGCACACGAUAAAGCACCAUCCGUGGUACAAAACGGGCCAGACGAAAAUCCACUGCCUCGUUCACGUCCGUAAGAGACCAGCGAAAAGCAGAGAGUUCUCGUGUUGGCAUUAUUAUUAUGAAUCGCGUGAGUUUUAAGAUGUAAUGUCUCCUAAUUCUACCAGAAACGCGGUGCUGAGAAGCACAUGAGACCUGGAGCCAGAGAGCCUGAGUUCAAGGCCUGACUCUGCAUUUCUCUGUAACCUCGGGCUAAUUUCUGAAGGCCUUAGUUUCCUUAUCUGCAGAGUGAGGAUAACAGCAACAUACUUCAUAGGAUGCUUUGAAGAUUGAGAUAACACACAGGAAAGAAUAGCAAAAUCACACAGACUGAGACUUAGAACUUAUAAAUUAUGUUUGUGUUGACUGUCUUCCCAUUCUUUCUCUCCCACCUUAGAGAAUUAUGUUUUCUCACACCCUUAAGUAUGCCCCACACUGAGGCACAGUUAAAUGAACAAGCCAUCAGUCUUCAAUACAAUAUUUGCUGAUCACAGGCCUCCAUUAUUUGAAGCUUUAGAUUAUGAACACACAUAGUUUUUAAGCUUCAGUAACCUGCGUUCACGUAUUUAUUUUAAGGAAUAUAUUCAUUCAAUUCGUGUAUACAACAUCCCCUUUUCCUGUGAAACCUACUUUUGAUGCAAGAACUAAAAUACCCAAAUCAGAGAGGCCAUUUAAAGUACAAGCCAAAAAUAUCAUUCACAUUUUUUUUGUCCCUUUCCAUGUGCUUAUUUGUGGUCCUACGAAAAUUUCAAGCUGUUCCGAGAUUUCCAGAAUCCAGUUACAAGCCUUAUAAUAAAAAGGGUUUCAAAAAUAAUCAAAGCAACACUAGUACCACCAAUAUAAUCAGACACAAAAGAGAAACAUGAGCAGAUGAAUAAACAUCAGUUGCGCGCACACAGCACCAUGCCGACCGCGCAGGAUGUAACUAACUCAACACAGCCUCACCUUUGAAACAGAGCCAGGGUCUUUACUUUGGCGGGAUGUGCCUGCGUUAAAAAGCGCAGGGACCUGAAGAUUUCUGGUGAAACAAAGAAGAAUCCAGUUGAAGUUGUUUUGCAGUUUGAGUUCGGAAAGGAUCCAUUUGAAGGAACCAAUUCCAAGCACACGAAGCACACAUCCCUCCCGGGCUCCUCCACCCCAUUCAACCGGGCUGUCAGUUUAGCGCUGGGCGCCCAUUGUUCACGUUGUUCUACUCUAAUUAGACUUGACAGAUUGCUCUUUCUGGCUAGACUGGCUGUUGCCAAGAACGGAGAGAAGAGGUGAGGCUGACCUUGUCACUCCGCCCUUGGGAUCAGUGCCCCACCCCCCACCCUAGUCCGCCAACACCGAAAUGUAUGGCCCUGCCGCUCAGAUCUGUUCCCCUUCUCCUCCAGCCCCCUGGCAGUCCCUGUGCCACGGACUUGUCUUUCCCUCCUGUGAGAUUCAAACCCUCAUUGUCUGUGGGAGAGGAGUAAGUGUGCUCUAAUAUUUUUCAUAUUAAUACUCUGACCCUUUUUUUUUUUUUUUCUUCAGGCCUGGUGGGGAAAAAACAGACCAGCUUUUCUGAAGGGAAAGAUACUGCAGUUCCGCCCAGGAGCUGGGAAAUAUUGAUUGCUUAAUGAAACAGAGCUCUGGAAGGAUUCAGGCCCUGACACUCCCAGCAUGUGUCUGAAGCAAAUCCGUGGCCCCGCUGCCCUCAGGGUCCAUAUCUGUAAAAUGCCACCAGUACUUCUCGAACCUUUGUCAUAUCAAAAAACAUGUUAUGCUGGUGUUAUAUAAAAAUUAGAUCAUAAAAUGGUAGAGCUGGAAAUGAUCUUAGAGAUCAUACAGUCCAAUAUCUUCACUCGGAAGAUUAAAAAAGCAGAGGCCAAAAGAGGGAGGGGACAUGCACAGGGUCAUGAAAUUAGUUCUUUAACUUUAAACAUCUGCCACUGAGCAACAGCUUGCUAAUUAGCUUUGUCACUAACCUGCCAUUUCCCAGUUUAUCCCGAGCUUGAGGAGAAAUCAUAUUGGCCAGGAAGGCAACUUUCUUUCUCUGAGGAAGGAAUUCUCCUCAUCCAAGGACAAUGUUUUCAGGAACGCUUCCCUUUACUGAGAAUCCAAUUGUCCUGUAAUAAAUGGAUCCUGACUCAUCCAAUGCCACAUGCCUCUUACUGGGGUGCAGGAUGGAACUCAACAGACUUCGGGUCUGGGGCCCCGCUCUCAAAUAGGAGGGACCGCCUCCUUGACCUAAGUCUGGCUACGCCCAUUGCCUUAAGAGCUGUGAGCAGGGCAGACUGUUAGAAAUUUCUCCUUGGAACAAAUCUCGUGUUUCCCAGGUUGUAAUGUAAACCCACUCAUUUACGGUUCACUCCCCUACGUACAAGUAUUUAUUAAAAGCCCAUUUUUUUGUUAAGCCCCUGAGAGCUGGCAAGACUAAUACAAUGAGUAGGAUCCAGCCUCAAGGAGCCUCAGAAGGAGGCAGCAGUGUAAACACUGAUGUGUGUGGCAGCAUUGUAUGAUGAGGGUGGAAGGAGGAGACGAUCGAUUUUCCUUGAUUGGGAUUUAAGGAAUUUAAAAACUUCACAGAGAAAAAAAGUAAAAAUAAAAAUAAAUUUUAAAAAAACGUCAUAGAGGAGAUGAUACUUGAGCUGAACUUUAGGAAAUGGAGGCGAUUUUCCAGGUGGAAGUGAGGAAAGUAGGUGGCAUUCACACAGAGAGUGAGCCCAUUGUUUGGGGGGGAAAAGGUUGUUGGCCUGUGUAGUAUGAGGAAGCAUCAUCCAAAGAUGAGAUUGGACAUUCAGGUAGAGAUCGGUGAAAGCACUAUAUCACAAAGGAAGCAGUUCAGAUUUUACUGUGGCAGUUCAGGGGACCCACUGAGAAGUUCCAAGCAGGGAAGUUACACAGUUCUGAUUGCAUUUUGAAAAGAUGGCGUUGAUGGCAGUGUGGAAGACAGUUUGGGGGAGGACUGGGAAGGAGCAAGACCCAAGGCAAAGAGACCUCAGGACACAACUCAACAAUUGAGGUGACAUAAGACGGCUGACUCAGUCUCUUCGAAAAGUCAGUCGGAAGAAUCAAGGGAGGGCACUGUUUUAGUUUUUGCUUCCAAAAGGCUUCAAGCAUUUUGGAUCCUGACUCAACUAGAUCAACUGUAAAGAGAAAAUGUGGAAGACACAUAGAGUCUUCGAUAAUAUUAAGGUAUUCUUGCACAUUUUGUUAGGUGUGAUGUUACCUUGGUAGCGUCAUAAAACAACAUACCAAAGUGUUUAAUGGGUGAG
Molecule: long non-coding RNA, 4287 nt
Filed under: Ailuropoda melanoleuca (giant panda)
Lineage: Eukaryota; Metazoa; Chordata; Mammalia; Carnivora; Ursidae
Description: lncRNA (ENSAMEG00000026773.1)
Source: RNAcentral